RNAcentral lists this ribosomal RNA (502 nucleotides) under uncultured bacterium. RNAcentral describes it as "bacterial SSU rRNA". It matches the Rfam family "Bacterial small subunit ribosomal RNA", at positions 28 to 516 of the family's 1533-position model. The record is from RNAcentral.
GAUGAACGCUAGCUACAGGCUUAACACAUGCAAGUCGAGGGGAAACGAUAUUGGAAGCUUACUUCCGAUAGGCGUCGACCGGCGCACGGGUGAGUAACGCGUAUCCAACCUGCCCACCACUUGGGGAUAACCUUGCGAAAGUAAGACUAAUACCCAAUGAUAUCUCUAGAAGACAUCUGAAAGAGAUUAAAGAUUUAUCGGUGAUGGAUGGGGAUGCGUCUGAUUAGCUUGUUGGCGGGGUAACGGCCCACCAAGGCGACGAUCAGUAGGGGUUCUGAGAGGAAGGUCCCCCACAUUGGAACUGAGACACGGUCCAAACUCCUACGGGAGGCAGCAGUGAGGAAUAUUGGUCAAUGGCCGCGAGGCUGAACCAGCCAAGUAGCGUGCAGGAAGACGGCCCUAUGGGUUGUAAACUGCUUUUGCAGGGGAUAAAGUAUGCCACGUGUGGUGUUUUGCAUGUACCCUGCGAAUAAGGAUCGGCUAAAUUCCCGUGCCAGCAGCC